Molecule: long non-coding RNA, 2183 nt
Organism: Cebus imitator (Panamanian white-faced capuchin)
Lineage: Eukaryota; Metazoa; Chordata; Mammalia; Primates; Cebidae
Exons: 3
Source: RefSeq, a predicted model, not a curated record
GUAACGGUUCGUUCCCCUUUUCCUAGCAGAGGAAAAAAAGCAAAGCUCAGUUUCAAGGAAAGCAGACUGGGAGGAGGAGGAAGCAGGACGCUGCCAGCCCAGGCCGGCUGGUUGCCUUCCAGGCUCCUAGAGCCCUCUGGAUUCCCUCUGGUGGAUUUGCUAAGGCUGGUUGUGCCAGGAACCCACGUGCAGGGACAGCUGAUUGGACCCACUGGCAUCAACGGACCUUUGGAGAAAACACAAUAGACUCAAGGAAACUAACAUCUGCCCCAGCGAAGGACUCAAGUUCUCGGGCUAUUAUUUGAAUUUGUGUGGGUUGUUUCAUUCUCCAUCUGAAACCAGGCCUCUUAGUAAAUCAAGGCAGAACUAUUUCUCUGAGGGAAUAGUGCACUUCAAAAAGUACCAUUUUGCUGGUGAUGGGAAAAUUGAUUAAAAGUUCCUAACUGACAGGGAGUCUUCAUAUCUACAAAGCACUAAAAGACCUCUCAUCUGGACACACUAAAUAAAGUAAAUGUUCCUGUAUUGAGUUUAAAGAUGCUUGCUAAGAUCAAAUGACUUUUCACCUAUCAAGACUCUGGCACUGUGUACCAUGGGGAAUUUAGAAAUUUGGUGCUGGUCAAUGCUAUGGCUAGUGAAUUUGUAUAACUGAGCAAUACCUGAAUCUAUCAGCAUGGUGAGGGUGACUCCUGAAAGGCAAGCUGUUUAAUAGACACCUCAUAGAAAUCUGAAGUAAUGUUAUGAAAGAAUGAAAAAUACAUUGGGGAACAGCUUGGAAAAUGAAGUACAUUUUGAUUUAACUUACAUUAACAGAAAUGUAAUGUAAAAGUGAAAGGAUCUAACAAAACCAUUAAUAAUUAAAAAAUAAUUACAGACAGUCUAUCCUUACUAUUCAUAACCACUCAACACUUUAAACAAAGAAAACGGAAUACUCUGAAUGGGAAUGAGAUGUGAGCAGACUGCUAAUGAGAAGUUAACCAAGGACUGUGCAUUUGUCAAAGGAGACGAGUUUCCUUGUUUCCCCCACCUGCAUAUUUUCAUUCUCUUGUAGUUAGCUUGGACCUUCAUCUUACAUCAGCACACAUACUGAGUGUCAGAGUUUAUAAAACCAAAAUCUCUUGAGCAAUAACAAUGCGGACCUUAUCAAGUUUUGAGGAUCAGGGGCACCAGAUGGCAUGUCUAUUAACCAUUCUCAUUCACAAAUAUUUAUAGGAGCCUAAGAGAUACAUGUCUCUGUAACAGAUUUUAGUUGGACAAUCCUAUCCCACAGGAUUUCACAAAACAAUGACCCCCUAAAGGCAGCAGUUUGUUCUCUCUCCCUGUUUGUGAUCACUUAAAAAAAUUAAUCAUCAUUUAAGGAUUCAUUGUCAAUCUUUUUCUUGUAUCGCUUACCGUAAGAGUUGUGUCCCUAUGUUUUAAAAAAUGUGAAUGUAUUUUUCUGUUACCUAAGUAGGGUUUCUUUUAUUUCCAAUGUACAUUUUUCAAUGUCCAAAGACUUUAGAGCAGUAUUCUACAUAUAAGUAUGCAGUAAACCCUUAAUCAUGCACUAGACCUUUAAAAAGGUGUUGGGAAGAAGGUACAGUGGCUCUAUUCUGAUUUUCACUGCAUAUUCUCCUUUAUUUUGUUUGAGAGACACAUGGGACUGCCCCUAGAGUGCUCUGUUGACGUUUGUUCGAGGCACUAGGAAGAAAUCAAAGCAGCCUGGCGGAAAGCAAACUUCACUGCCUCUUUUCAGAGAUAAAGGGAAAUCUUACAAAAGGAGAGAUUUGCAGAAUACAACUAGAAUCCAAUGAAGUCAUUGCUGAGCAUCUGCUGGGAAGCCACCAGGAAGUGGAGACCUAUAGCCCAUGUCAAAUCGUAUGCAUCUGAAGGAUCUGAAGCCUCUUUCCUUCCUCCCCCAUUCCCAGAUGAAUUAGAAACAAAACAGCAUGCCUUUUGUACGAAACAGAAAAACCUAAGGAGAAAUGCUAAUAGGUUGACUGCAAAGAUUAUAAAUACUUCUUAGCUAUAUAAAUAUGAAUUGAGUGCAUAAAACAUGUUAAAUUCCUUGUAGGCAUCCACUUUCAAAUUUUUUUAAACUGCAGCAGAAGGACCUUACAACAAUGACAACAAAUUCACCUUUAAGCAUCUAUCAUUUCAUGAAAUUGUAUAUAUAGCCUAUGAUUUGCCUGUAAAUCUCAUGUAUA